GACGAACCGUGCGACCGUUGUUCGGAAUCACUGGGCUUAAAGGGCGCGUAGGCGGCUUGCCAAGUCAGUGGUGAAAUCCUGCAGCUUAACUGCAGAAGUGCCUUUGAUACUGGCGAGCUCGAGGGAGGUAGGGGUAUGUGGAACUUCUGGUGGAGCGGUGAAAUGCGUUGAUAUCAGAAGGAACGCCGGUGGCGAAAGCGACGUACUGGACCUCUUCUGACGCUGAGGCGCGAAAGCUAGGGGAGCAAACGGG
This 253-nucleotide ribosomal RNA is filed under the name uncultured bacterium. Its description in RNAcentral is "partial 16S ribosomal RNA". It matches the Rfam family "Bacterial small subunit ribosomal RNA", at positions 524 to 776 of the family's 1533-position model. The record is from RNAcentral.